GCGGGUGUAGUUUAGUGGUAAAACUACAGCCUUCCAAGCUGUUGUCGCGAGUUCGAAUCCCGUAACCCGCU
This 71-nucleotide transfer RNA is filed under the name Streptococcus agalactiae. Its description in RNAcentral is "tRNA-Gly". It matches the Rfam family "tRNA". From Rfam's summary of the family: Transfer RNA (tRNA) molecules are approximately 80 nucleotides in length. The record is from RNAcentral. Lineage: Bacteria; Bacillati; Bacillota; Bacilli; Lactobacillales; Streptococcaceae.